RNAcentral lists this long non-coding RNA (1100 nucleotides) under Helianthus annuus (common sunflower). RNAcentral's name for it is "hypothetical non coding rna". Lineage: Eukaryota; Viridiplantae; Streptophyta; Magnoliopsida; Asterales; Asteraceae. The record is from RNAcentral.
AUGCAAUAUGUUGAAACUUGUAUUAAUUCAAAAGCAUGGCAUCACAAAACAAUAACAUUGGACCGAGCAUGUAAGGAAGGCGGCUGGCAAGAAUCUUGGGGGACAUAAGCAACAUCAUCACGGCAGUAAUGUGGGGGACCCCUAAUAUCAUUGUUUUCGGAAAAAAAAACACAACAGUAGGUGACAGAAGGCAAUUGACGGCAAUUAUAAAGCAACAUUGGGGGAUGAAUUAGAUAAAAAGAUAUGUCCAAUGAGCUAGUGGUGGAGUGGUAAGGGAGAGAUCUUGUGUUCCAAGUGACCCAAGUUCAAUUCCUACCCCUAGCAUUUAGUUUCUGCGGCACCUGGUGAUGAUGGGAGACUAAGCGAGCAGGCGGCGAUCGCUAGUUCGAUCCUUGAACUGAGCGGGUUUUACCUCACCGCACUGUCGUGCCUUCGGGCGAGUGUUCAUGGGCUUCGGCCCUAGGUGAGGGUUUUCCCCGGUUUGAAAGACGAGUGUAUCCCGAUGUGGUGAAUUUCGCCAGUAACCCAUUUGGAGUAUUCGUUGGCCGUUAAAAAAAAGAUAAAACGGUAUGGCUGCUGCUAAUUCUUAUUAUUACUGGAGAGUGGGCCGUGAAGAUCAUAUCAUAUCCACAUAAUUCCUAAUCAACAUCAGUGACAUAUAUGGAAGUGGAUGAUUCCUAUUGGGCUUUGGAUGAUCUUUCAGAAUGAACACUUAAAACCUAAUGAAUUCUAAUAUUACUUGGACGCAAAGGAUGAGGAUGUAAUAUAUACAUCAGACGUGAGGGGGGACGCACGAAUAUCAGACGCACGAAGUCAACAGCCGGCGAUGACACGAAUUUUGGAGUUCUUUGGCACCAUUGAAGGCUGUUGAAGCAUCUUGGAGGCGUGGAAUCAUUCGGGUAACAUCUUGGAGCAUUCGGGAGUGAAGAUUCAGGUUUUAUCAUCCUAUAUUCUUCGUUUUUCGUUUGUUCUUUAUUGUUGCAAGAUGAAUUCAGAAUAUAUAUUGAUUUUGAUUAUGUUCUUGACCAUGUUUUCCGGCUAAACUUCAUAAACUACCUAGGCUAAUGACAAUAGUUAAAUAAAGUUUGAUUCUUUAUUCG